Molecule: transfer RNA, 58 nt
Filed under: Apaloderma vittatum (bar-tailed trogon)
Lineage: Eukaryota; Metazoa; Chordata; Aves; Trogoniformes; Trogonidae
Rfam family: tRNA
About the family: Transfer RNA (tRNA) molecules are approximately 80 nucleotides in length. Their secondary structure includes four short double-helical elements and three loops (D, anti-codon, and T loops). Further hydrogen bonds mediate the characteristic L-shaped molecular structure. tRNAs have two regions of fundamental functional importance: the anti-codon, which is responsible for specific mRNA codon recognition, and the 3' end, to which the tRNAs corresponding amino acid is attached (by aminoacyl-tRNA synthetases). tRNAs cope with the degeneracy of the genetic code in two manners: having more than one tRNA (with a specific anti-codon) for a particular amino acid; and 'wobble' base-pairing, i.e. permitting non-standard base-pairing at the 3rd anti-codon position.
Source: Rfam by way of RNAcentral
UAGCUCAGUCAGUUGAGCAUAGCGCUAACAACGCUAAGGUCAUGGGUUCGGUUCCCGU